CUUCGAUGAAAAAAAACAAAAGGUCCUCUCUGCAAAACAAAAAAAAAUGACGAUUGAGAGUUCUAGAUCCACCGACAAAAGCUUAUCUUCUCCGAGCUCUACCAAUAAUGUUUCCAAUGUCGAUCUGAAGCGAUCUGAGUUAAAAACGAUAAGUCGGAGAAGGAUAUUGACUUCACCUUUCCCAUCUAUACAACGAAGUCACAAGUUCUGAAGAAAAAAAAAAUGCUCCAAUUGCAGGUCUAACAUGAAAAUUCUGAAUGUUUCUCCAUACUACAACGGAAGACGCCUCCCUUUACUCUCAAUGGUAUAUAGGGUUUGUCAAAAAAAAAAGAUGCUUUCGAUGGGGUUUAAAUGGUAUAGGGUUUGAUCAUGAAGAUGAUUUCGGUGGGCUGGACAUUUAUUUCUGUUUGGAUUUUAAAAAAGUACAGGUUACUCUGCAGUGGGUUUAAAUAAUUUUGAUAGGCUGUAAAAAUCGAAUACUUCUGAUUGAUCUAAAAUAAUUGGCGACAUUUAUU
Brassica napus (rape) is the source of this 515-nucleotide long non-coding RNA. RefSeq lists it as uncharacterized. The transcript is spliced from 4 exons. The record is from RefSeq and is a predicted model, not a curated record. Lineage: Eukaryota; Viridiplantae; Streptophyta; Magnoliopsida; Brassicales; Brassicaceae.